ACCGAAGCCUGUAACCGCCUCCGGGCGUGACGGGUGGCUGGUAUCCUCCUUCUGAGGGGUGUAUGUUGCAGCUUGGGCCGGCCCUUAUGGGUCGCGAAUCCCCAAUCCUGCGGCGGACCAUCCCUUGGGCAACUCAGUGGGGGCAAUUGGAUGGCUCGUAGGCAUCUCCGGCGGCUUCGGCCCUGGAGGUGGCUCGGGCCGGGCGCUGGGCUUCGGUCCACGUCCCGACCUUUUAACUAGCUCUGAUACCUCUUCACUGAGGGUUGCCGGGGAUGCCUUUCGUCCUUCGGGGCGGAAGGCCUACCCGGGAAAGAUAGUUACCUGGUUGAUUCUGCCAGUAGUCAUAUGCUUGUCUCAA
This 358-nucleotide unclassified non-coding RNA is filed under the name Cladonia albonigra. RNAcentral describes it as "partial 28S-18S ribosomal RNA intergenic spacer". Lineage: Eukaryota; Fungi; Ascomycota; Lecanoromycetes; Lecanorales; Cladoniaceae. The record is from RNAcentral.